Molecule: long non-coding RNA, 1262 nt
Filed under: Sus scrofa (pig)
Lineage: Eukaryota; Metazoa; Chordata; Mammalia; Artiodactyla; Suidae
Description: lncRNA (ENSSSCG00070014944.1)
Source: RNAcentral
AUGGAUAAAGAACAAGUGGUUGAUCUACACCUCAAACUUUCUCGUUUAGAAAAAAAGGAAAAAGUAACAAAUUCCACAGAAUUGCAGCAUCAGUUAGAUAAAACAAAGCAACAGCAUCAAGAACAACAAGCUCUUCAGCAAAGCACUACGGCAAAACUUUGAGAAGCUCAGAAUGAUUGGGAAAAAGUGCUUCGUCAAUUUGGUGAUAAGGACCAAAAGAUCCAGAACCUUGAAGCCUUAUUACAGGAGAGUAAAGAAAAUAUUUCUUUCCUAGAAAAGGAAAGAGAAGAUUUUAUGCAAAAACUCAGGCUGGUGAAGGAGAGACCGCUGUUCUUAAUCAGUUGCAGGAAGAAAACCAUAUAUUACAGGAACAAGUAAGCUUGUCUAGUGUAUUCUAUUUCUAAAAUUUAUUUUUAAUCUCUCUAAAUCUUACAAAGUGCUUUAUGUAAAUGAUUCUGUUAAUUUUAGUGCUUGUAAAAUUAUUAUGUAUUUCUGAAAAAAACCGUCUCAUUUACCUUAGAGGUGGGUUGCUAUUGCAGUGAAAAUAAGUUAUUUACCAUGAUUUGAUAAAGGAAAUCUCAGUUCACACCCCAGGAUGUAACUUAUUACCUGUGUGACCAUAAGCAAAUCAUUUAACCAUGUUAACUCAUUGGAAAAGUAUAGUUAGUUCACACUGGGAAGUUAGACUUACUUCUUGGCAUUUUGUGAUGUUUUGAAAAGGAAAAGUAAGGAACAGAAUAUAUUUAUAAACUAUAUCAGGUGUUAGUUAUUUCUGUGUAUUGCUUAAUAUCCAGACGUAGUGGUUAUACAUAUAUUUGAUAAUGUACAUGUCUUUGGGAUAUAUAGUUAAUAACAAUUUUGAUAAGCAGACUUCUUAUUUUAACAUUUGUAUGUUAGUUUAAGUGAAACAUAAAAUUUAUUAGCUCAAUAUGUUUUCAAACUGUAAAGCAUUUAGUGUCACUUUUGGGGAAGAAUUGCCCAAUAGGUGAAUCAUAAUUAUCUAAAUGAAAAAGUUUUAAAAGUAUCAGUAGGCCAUAUCACUUUUCUAAUUUAGGUAUUAGAAUAUAACACAAAACUUUUUUCUGCAUUUCAAAGUUAGCCUUGGCUACCAGUUUUAUGAGGAAUUCUUUAGCCUAGUUUUUAGUUGGAAGUUGCAUACAACGUAACAUUUCAUAUUAUACAAAUAUCAGGAAAGCCUAUACAAUUUUUUAAAAAGAGUAGGUAAAAAUAAAUCUAUGUCCUUCUGCUUCUAGCUGUGUUGG